Long non-coding RNA from Amblyraja radiata (thorny skate), 1116 nucleotides. RefSeq lists it as uncharacterized. The transcript is spliced from 2 exons. The record is from RefSeq and is a predicted model, not a curated record. Lineage: Eukaryota; Metazoa; Chordata; Chondrichthyes; Rajiformes; Rajidae.
GAGUGAGGCAGCAUCUAUGGAGUGAAGGAAAUAGGCAAUGUUUUGGGUCAAGACCCUUCUUCAGACAGGAUUGAUUAGUUGUUUGUCAGUAAUAACGCCAGAUUUAGAAUGAAAUUGUGGGAAGUGGUGGUGUUGGGCCAAUGAAGGUUUUUUUUUCUGUUUUAACUAACUGAUGCUAUGUAUUACUUUCUUAAGGUAUGCCCUAGCCUCUCACUACCUGUGGGCACUCUGGGCUAUUAUACAAGCAAAGCUUUCCACAAUUGAGUUCGGUUACAUGGAUUAUGCCCUGUAUAGACUGGAAGCCUACUUUGAUCAGAAGAGAAUACUUGGUUGACUUGCUGUACAGUGCUAGCACUGCUUGGAAUUUAGCACGUUUCUGUUAUUAAUUAUUUUUAAAAAUUGCAUUUUGCUUCAAAUGAGUCCAGGACCAUUUUAAACCUGAUCAGUGACUGCACUUUGAAAUCACACAAAUGUAGGUCGAUGAACUCGAAUCACAGACUAAAAAUGGUGAUCAUGGACUUCUUGGAAGAGCUGUGGUUGAGAAAGUUAAUCUCCAGUCCUGUGAAACCCUGGGUCACAGAUGAUCGUGCAGGAGUUUGUAGCAAUAUGUUUCUUGUGUGUGUUCUUGUACUGUGUAUCUCCGUCCUCAUGCUCCAGCUGUCUCCCAACACAUGAACUACAAGGCUGGUUUUCCUUGUCACGACAGUGCUUUUAAGUAGCCGUUUGUGCUGGAUAUUUUGAUUAAGAUGGUCUGAUUGGACUGAUUAAGACCUUGGGGUUUACUUUGAUGAUUUAAGUUAAUGGUGUCUCUGGCAAAGCCAGCACUUGUCAUCCCUAAGUGCUAUCAAACAGGUGACGAAAGAUUAUCUUGAAUGCUGAAAGGUAUUUCAAAGUUGUUGGGUAGGGUGUUCUAAGAUUUAAACAUGAUGGUAAAGAAGAAAUGACUCCACAUUAGCCAUUUAUUAGAAACAUAACCUGUGGGUGGUGUUCCAGUGCACCUGUUACCCUCUUUGUUUUUGAUGGAAGAGUUCACAUAACCACAGAAGUAAUUGGGUGUCGGUUUGAAUAUGCUUCCACACCAUUUGAUGAAAAUAAAAUGAGUACAGUUAAACAAUG